Long non-coding RNA from Zingiber officinale, 1727 nucleotides. RefSeq lists it as uncharacterized. The transcript is spliced from 6 exons. The record is from RefSeq and is a predicted model, not a curated record. NCBI's taxonomy places the organism in Eukaryota, Viridiplantae, Streptophyta, Magnoliopsida, Zingiberales, Zingiberaceae.
AAUUGAAUGCAUUAAUUAAAGCAGAGGUACUAUGAUUUAUGUAAGGUUGCACUAAUUGUGCUUUCUCAGUGUGGAAAGACCGUUCAAUGAUAACUGAUGCUCAGCCAACCCUUGGUUAUGUCACAUAUAUGACAACUUGCUCUUUGUUGCAAGCUUCAGCUAGCCAACCAUUUGGGGCUCUCUUAUGCCCCUGUAGCUGAUGCAACCCAACCACCCAUCCUAAUCUUAUCAGAUGAUUCAGAUCCAGCAAGUGCCAGCAAAUUGCCUUAAACAUCAGUAAGUUCCAACAACAAUGUGCCGCUCUGCUACCAGAAAGCAAUGAUGACCCAAAAAGGAAGAACCAUUAUGUUGCACAAUCCAAGGGUGUGAAUACAACAUACUUCUUUAUUGCGCAACUCCAUCAACACGUAGCAGUUGGCCAUUAGAAUGACGUGGCGACGGGGCCCACGUCAGCAGAACUAGCCGUUCUGUGGCUUCUGUGUCACUCCGCAUUAGAGCUAAUGUACUGGAGGCCUCCACCUCGUGGAGCAUACAUAAGUAUAUAGUCGUUGGGAUCAGAGGAGAAAAACCAAGGGCCAAAAUUUGCAGGCGCGGGACUGGACCGUCCCACCCCCUUCUGCGUAAUGUUUUAAGUCCUCUCGGGACGAUUAAGUGGUUAGUACAUGAGCAAUAAUUGAGGAUUGAUUUCCAUCCAAAAAAAGAAUUCAUUGGAUCGAAUAAUUGAGCUCCACUACACCAACCAAGUUCAAUCUCUAUAUCUGUAAAGAAGUUGGGUAUGUUCAUUGCUCCAAAAGAGAUUGAACUUGGCACAAUCAAGACUCUCACCUCAAUUUUGCGGCCAUGACUGCCCAUCCAUCCCCAACAUACCUCGAUGCACUGAUGAAUGAGCUUGAAUUCCCAAUGAGUGCAUUGCAAAAUCAUGGAAGAGCCACUAAGCAAUGUAGCAUAAGCGUAGGGGAACAAACACAUGAUCAGUCCAAACCAUGUGCUUUGUAGGCUUGGGAGCUGAGGAACUCAUUCCAGCAGUACCUGCAGGAGAAGAUUCUGUGAAUUAGGCACGCAGGAGAUCUAUGAUUCGCUGGUGUUGCUGCUUCUUUUGCUUUGUACUCACUGCAGCUGAGUUCAUGUUUGAUUGCUUACUCCAAUGAAUUCUAAGAAACAAUGCUGUUUUUUUUUUCUGUUUUGAUUUAGACCAAGCACAUCUGCAGGAGAAAUAUUACUAUUCAGAAUUAGAUUAUCCAACAAAUGGAACUUCUCUCAGGAAGAAUUCAUACAAGAAACUUCAGAAAGAAAUCUAUAUUUAUAAGCAGACCCAAGUCCUUUGUGCAGUUAUUCAUUUACUGAACAUUAUCACUAGAAUUUGGAGGAAAAACACAUACCAAACAUGAGAUGUUUUCAUAGCCUUCUGGUUCUUGUUCUUCUUCUUCAGCUGCUUCUGGGAUGAGGGAAAUGGUAAAAUUGUGUUGUAUAGAUUCUGGAUCCAAUCUAAAUAUGGUAAAUGGUUAUUAUCUUGGAUUCUCUCUUGCAUGAUUGCAUUAAAUAGUUGUUUGACUUUCUCCAUAUCCAUGCAGUUUGUCAAUCUGCAAAUGCUAACUGUUUUUCACAUGGCAGCGGGCAGAGGAAGCAUGUCCAAAUCUGCAGAGGGAUAAUUAUUUAAAAAAAAUAUAUAUUUUGCAGAAACAAGAUAGUUUCUCAUGUGCUAUUGAUGCUUAUCGCAGGGUUUUUUA